Non-coding RNA from Lachnoclostridium sp. YL32, 89 nucleotides. Lineage: Bacteria; Bacillati; Bacillota; Clostridia; Lachnospirales; Lachnospiraceae. The record is from Rfam.
GCAGAUGUGGCGGAGUGGUCGAAUGCGGCUCCCCGCUAAGGAGCAGGCCGGCGGUAACCGGUCCGGAGGUCCGAAUCCUCCCAUCUGCG